RNAcentral lists this ribosomal RNA (405 nucleotides) under uncultured bacterium. Its description in RNAcentral is "bacterial SSU rRNA". It matches the Rfam family "Bacterial small subunit ribosomal RNA", at positions 355 to 776 of the family's 1533-position model. The record is from RNAcentral.
UUAGGAAUUUUCCACAAUGGGGGCAACCCUGAUGGAGCAACGCCGCGUGCAGGAUGAAGGCCUUCGGGUUGUAAACUGCUUUUAUGUGCGAAGAAUAUGACGGUAACACAUGAAUAAGGAUCGGCUAACUCCGUGCCAGCAGCCGCGGUCAUACGGAGGAUCCAAGCGUUAUCCGGAUUUACUGGGCGUAAAGAGUUGCGUAGGUGGUUUGUUAAGUGAAUAGUGAAAUCUGGUGGCUCAACCAUCAACACAUUAUUCAAACUGACAAACUCGAGAAUGAGAGAGGUCACUGGAAUUCCUUGUGUAGGAGUGAAAUCCGUAGAUAUAAGGAGGAACACCAAUGGCGUAGGCAGGUGACUGGCUCAUUUCUGACACUGAGGCACGAAAGCGUGGGGAGCGAACGGG